CAGUAGCCGCGGUAAUACGAAGGGUGCAAGCGUUAAUCGGAAUUACUGGGCGUAAAGCGUGCGCAGGCGGUUGUGUAAGACAGGUGUGAAAUCCCCGGGCUUAACCUGGGAACUGCGCUUGUGACUGCACAGCUAGAGUAUGGCAGAGGGGGGUGGAAUUCCACGUGUAGCAGUGAAGUGCGUAGAGAUGUGGAGGAACACCGAUGGCGAAGGCAGCCCCCUGGGCCAAUACUGACGCUCAUGCACGAAAGCGUGGGGAGCAAACAGGAUUAGAUACCCGCGUAGUCCCUGUCUCUUAUAC
RNAcentral lists this ribosomal RNA (301 nucleotides) under uncultured bacterium. Its description in RNAcentral is "partial 16S ribosomal RNA". It matches the Rfam family "Bacterial small subunit ribosomal RNA", at positions 509 to 807 of the family's 1533-position model. The record is from RNAcentral.